GCUCCCACUCUGAGCACACUGCCUAUGGCUUAGCCCUGCUCUGCAAAGAGCAGUACCUCUACUACUGCUGUACCCUGCUGCUGCAAUAAAUUUGCUGUCUAACACCACUACUGGCUCACCCUUGAAUUUUUUCCUGGGCAAAGCCAAGAACUCUCACAGCCUAUGCCUCAAUUUUGGGGCUCAUUUUUCCUGUAUCACUGGGACCAUACUUUGAAAACCAUUAUACUACCCUAUACAAAUUAGUGGCAAACUAGAGAAUGCAUGAUGAAAUCAUUUAUUUAAAAUCAUUUAAAUUCAUCCAAUUAAAAUUAUUCAUAUUCACAUCUAAUAAGUCAAAGGAGGAAGGAAAGGGGAAGAUGGCAUGUCUUCAGAAUAAAUAUGUUCUGCUUGCUUCAGCAAACCGGAAUGAACCGAGUCAAUAAUGGAAGAAUUUGUUGUAAUAUAUUUGUGUUUCUUUGUGUCCAAGAGUGUUAUUCACACAUGAAGCUCAAGAUGGUCCCUGAUGAUAUGUCACAGAGAUUCCUAAGGUACUCUUUUGUAAAGAAUGACUAGACAGAAAAUACUUCCUUAGUUCUGUAACAAGCAAUGAUUCCUGGAGUGGGAAAUGUUCUUGUGGGACCAGAGCUCAGUUGCAGCCUUUGCAGACUAAUGCUCCUGAUAUUAACAAGAGGUCUUGUGUUAACCCAACGAUCUAACUCCAGCCUGGUGAACCUGAUCUUUGGAACUAUUAGGGGGGAAGAUAAAAAGCCAGGGAACUGGGGAGAUGCCAAAGUAAUCACUUUCUGCUUGCUCAAGUUUGCCUGCAGUUUUCAAUUGGAUGCAGUGCCUUCCAUUUCCC
Long non-coding RNA from Homo sapiens (human), 838 nucleotides. RefSeq lists it as uncharacterized. The record is from RefSeq and is a predicted model, not a curated record. Lineage: Eukaryota; Metazoa; Chordata; Mammalia; Primates; Hominidae. The transcript is spliced from 3 exons.